AUCACCCGAUGGCAUCCGUUGACAACCGUUUAUCCAAGCACGGCGGCGAGAAUGCCCCUUUUCAGAGUCGUUUCACAAAGCAGGAGACAUAUGAUUGGCACAGGAUCUGCCUGAGGGCUACCGAAAUCAUGCCCAGCGUUACCCACGUGAAAGAGUGACAAUGGAUGGCCACGAAAGGAAUUACAGAACGUCGGCCUCAGAUCGUUCUGACUGCCGCUGGAUCGGGGAAAGCAUGGUUUGGAUCCUGCUGCUUUUGGCGAUGAAGAUGCACAAGCAGUCAGGUAUCCUUAUCCUAUUUGGGGUAACCAAAGCGACGCAAGACGACCAAAUCAGGAAGCUAAAACGGCUGCACUUUGAGGCCAAUUUCCUGAAUGGAGACUCUCCCCGUGAUGUUAGGCAAAAACUCGCUGAGAUGAAAGGGCAAUUAUGGGCAAUUGGAUCGGGGAUGUUGCAAAACCAUUUGGUCCAAGAAGUCCUUGGCAAAUCCGCUCUUACGGGUAAAACCCUAUCUAGGCUCGUAGACGAGGCACAUACCAUCAAAGAGGGGGGUCCGUCUUGGCGGCCGGACAUCCUCAAGCUGUGCGAGAUACGUGACAUUUUGGGGCCGAGUUCUGCACGGGGGUUGUUCUCAGCUAUCAUGAGUCGGUAACACAUUACGAUUGCGGAGGAUGCCAUGCAUUUGGGCAGAAGAUUGAUGGAUGAAUGGGAUGUAGGUCCCGAUAGAGACGAGCUCAAAUAUGAAGUCCGGCCCUUCAGAGCCAAGAUGGACACAUACGCAGACUUGGGAAUCAUAUCGCAAGAAAUUUACUUCCUCUGGCCCAAGCCACUGACCACGACACCCACUGCAAUUCCACAGGAUCUCUCACUCUCUUCGCUCAGUUGUAAUUUCUCAUCAUUUCCGCCCACCACUUCUCAUACGGCAUCUCCUAUGACAACAUCCACCAGUGGCAGAAAGGAGGUAGUAGCCCAACGGAAGGAAACGGGAGAUAAAUUCGUUACUGUAUUACGCCCGUUGGACCACGUCACAGCCCUCGUCUUCAACGAGACGAAGAGAGGAGGAAGGAGCUGAGCAAAAGGACAAUGCGUCUGAGUCUUUGGUUCCCAGAACAAUCGCGUUUUUUGCGACAAAGCAACAGGGUUUGGAUACUCAGGAUGCUUUGAGGUCGAUUUGACCGGAGAAUCCUCAUCAGGUUGAUACUUUCUACGGUUCUACCUCCCCAGUGCAGCGUUUAAAUCUCCUGGACAAGUUCAAGAAAGGCGCUGUUCGAGUACUCUGCUGUACAAAAGCUUUUGGACUAGGCUGCGACAUCUCAAAUAUCGAAUACUCGAUCAUAUACAACUGUGUGGAUUCGAUGGUUGAUCUUUGGCAGAAAGGUGGAAGAGCAGCCAGAGGUCGGCGAGUGACGGGGAGAGUCAUUUGGCUUGCACCACUUGAUGUCUUUGGGCCGUCGGAUGAAUGGGAGAAGAAGUCGGGGGAUUCGCAUCCUAUAUCCCUAAGCCCAUUCCCUACACGAAUAAAGCUUUCAGAGCCGUCAUCGCCUUCGAGCAAAGUGUCGUUAUCUAUACGAACUUGCUAAUCCUCCAGUAGUUGAGUCACGCUCCUUUUAUUAUCCUUAUCACCCAUCCAUCGACUCCCAAACCAACUGCGGCUUCUUUACUUCCCCCCUCUACCACCAUCUCUCCGACUCCUUUCCCAUCUCCCACCAAUCCGUCCAUCGCCCCUCUCACAUCUAAGCCCCUCCCCCCCC
This 1748-nucleotide small RNA is filed under the name Cryptococcus neoformans H99. RNAcentral's name for it is "Cryptococcus neoformans var. grubii H99 hypothetical RNA". The record is from RNAcentral. Lineage: Eukaryota; Fungi; Basidiomycota; Tremellomycetes; Tremellales; Cryptococcaceae.